CAGUACACUCAUCCAUAAAGUAGGAAACACUACACUUGGACACAAGCGUUUAGUAGUGCUUUCUACUUUAUGGAUGAGUCCACUGU
RNAcentral lists this microRNA precursor (86 nucleotides) under Laticauda laticaudata (blue-ringed sea krait). RNAcentral's name for it is "mir-142 microRNA precursor family". It matches the Rfam family "mir-142 microRNA precursor family". The record is from Rfam by way of RNAcentral. Lineage: Eukaryota; Metazoa; Chordata; Lepidosauria; Squamata; Elapidae. RNAcentral also lists the same sequence under 6 other names.